GGGCCUGUAGCGCAGUGGUCGACGCGCCCUCCUGAACGGAGGAGGGAGAACGCCGGUUCGAAUCCGGCCGGUCCCG
RNAcentral lists this transfer RNA (76 nucleotides) under Lentzea albidocapillata. It matches the Rfam family "tRNA". Rfam says of the family: Transfer RNA (tRNA) molecules are approximately 80 nucleotides in length. Their secondary structure includes four short double-helical elements and three loops (D, anti-codon, and T loops). RNAcentral also lists the same sequence under 2 other names. The record is from Rfam by way of RNAcentral. Lineage: Bacteria; Bacillati; Actinomycetota; Actinomycetes; Pseudonocardiales; Pseudonocardiaceae.